RNAcentral lists this ribosomal RNA (253 nucleotides) under uncultured bacterium. Its description in RNAcentral is "partial 16S ribosomal RNA". It matches the Rfam family "Bacterial small subunit ribosomal RNA", at positions 524 to 776 of the family's 1533-position model. The record is from RNAcentral.
UACGUAGGGGGCAAGCGUUGUCCGGAUUUAUUGGGCGUAAAGAGCGUGUAGGCGGCUAGGUAGGUCCGUUGUGAAAACUCGAGGCUCAACCUCGAGCUGUCGAUGGAAACCAUCUGGCUAGAGUCCGGAAGAGGCGAGUGGAAUUCCUGGUGUAGCGGUGAAAUGCGCAGAUAUCAGGAAGAACACCCGUGGCGAAGGCGGCUCUCUGGUACGUGACUGACGCUGAGACGCGAAAGCGUGGGGAGCGAACAGG